Molecule: RNA transcript, 3231 nt
Organism: Nycticebus coucang (slow loris)
Lineage: Eukaryota; Metazoa; Chordata; Mammalia; Primates; Lorisidae
Gene: MAP2K5
Gene name: mitogen-activated protein kinase kinase 5
Exons: 19
Source: RefSeq, a predicted model, not a curated record
GUUUUGGUUCCGGAGUAACAGUGCCUUCGCUGCCGCCUUCCUCUUCUCGCCGCCGCUGCUUUUGCCGCCGCCGCCGGGACGCGCAGUGUUUCCGGGUGGGGCAGAAGACUUGUCCCUGACCCUCUCACGGAGGGUCCCCUCCGCUUCCUCAAGGACUGGCGGCCCUGGGGCUCUUUCUUCCUAAUAGCCGGUGACUGAGUCCCCUCCAGUUGGGGGCCCUCUUUUUGCCGCUGUCUCCCCCAAACCGCGUCCUUGCUCUCCCGUCUCCUCACACACGGAAGGCAGAGAGCUUCAUUACACCGUUUGCCUUCCUUUCCAACUCCAGCACCUUCUGACCUCCGCUAGUUCCUGCUGGCCCCUGCUCCCUUCCCGGUGCACCCUCGCCGGGAGGCACCCUCAGACCGCGUACACCCUGAGUCUGGCGCGGUACCUGCGGGCCCCUGCCUGGUCACCCCUCCUCUUUUUAAAACACCCUCCGAAUCCCCUGUUUUCACCUUCUGUUUUCUGCCCCUCCCUUUGUCACCUCUUGAAGUCCCCGCCUAACCAGGGGCCAGCGGAUACCCCCUACUCCAAGAUGUGAACCCUUUAACCUGUAAUGCUCUGGCUGACCCUUGGCCCCUUCCAUGCCAUGGAGAACCAGGUGCUGGUGAUUCGCAUCAAGAUUCCAAAUAGUGGGGCAGUGGACUGGACAGUGCACUCUGGGCCGCAGUUACUCUUCAGGGAUGUGCUGGAUGUGAUAGGCCAGGUUCUGCCUGAAGCAACAACUACAGCAUUUGAAUAUGAAGAUGAAGAUGGUGAUCGAAUUACAGUGAGAAGUGAUGAAGAAAUGAAGGCAAUGCUGUCAUAUUAUUAUUCCACAGUAAUGGAACAGCAAGUAAAUGGACAGUUAAUAGAGCCUCUGCAGAUAUUUCCAAGAGCCUGCAAGCCUCCUGGGGAACGGAACAUACAUGGCCUGAAGGUGAAUACCCGGGCUGGACCCUCUCAACACAGCAGCCCAGCAAUCUCGGAUUCACUUCCAAGCAAUAGCCUAAAGAAAUCUUCUGCUGAAUUGAAAAAAAUAUUAGCCAAUGGCCAGAUGAAUGAACAAGACAUACGGUAUCGAGACACCCUUGGUCAUGGCAACGGAGGCACAGUCUACAAAGCCUAUCAUGUCCCGAGUGGGAAAAUAUUAGCUGUAAAGGUCAUAUUAUUAGAUAUUACACUGGAACUUCAGAAGCAAAUUAUGUCUGAAUUGGAAAUUCUUUAUAAGUGUGAUUCAUCAUAUAUCAUAGGAUUUUAUGGGGCAUUUUUUGUAGAAAACAGAAUUUCAAUAUGUACAGAAUUCAUGGAUGGGGGAUCUUUGGAUGUAUAUAGAAAAAUUCCAGAGCAUGUCCUUGGAAGAAUUGCAGUAGCAGUUGUAAAAGGCCUUACUUAUUUGUGGAGUUUAAAGAUUUUACAUAGAGAUGUGAAGCCCUCCAAUAUGCUAGUCAACACAAGAGGACAGGUCAAGCUAUGUGAUUUUGGAGUUAGCACUCAGCUGGUGAAUUCUAUAGCCAAGACGUAUGUUGGAACAAAUGCUUACAUGGCGCCUGAAAGAAUUUCAGGGGAGCAAUAUGGAAUCCAUUCUGAUGUCUGGAGCUUAGGAAUCUCUUUCAUGGAGAGCCUCAAGCUGUCGCCCUGUGUAGAGUCCUAUGGCAUCACAGCUCACAGCAACCUCCAACUCCUGGGCUCAAGCAAUUCCCCUGCCUCCACCUCCCAAGUACCUGGAUUUACAGGCGUGUGCCAGAAUGACUGGCUGUUUUUUGGUUGCAGCCAUCAUUGUUUGGUGGGCCCGGGCUGGAUUCCAACCCACCAGCUCAGAUGUAUGUGGCUGGCGCCUUAGCCGCUUGAGCCACAGGCGCCAAGCCGAUCUGUUUGUUUUUAAAUAAGGUGAUAAUUGUAGAUAAGUAUAAUACAGAUGUUGGGGGGAAAGAGCACCGGAGAAGCCUCCACACCACCGCAUCCUGGCCCUGAGGCCUUGGGCCUGCACCCUGUCCUCUGGCAGACUCAGUUUUCCCUCAUAGAAUAGACAUGAUCAUCCUUGCCAACCUUAGGGUGGUUGUGCCCAUCAAAUGAGUGUGUAUGUCAAUAACUUUUUUAAAUACCAUUAAAAACAUAUAAGGGACUACUACUAUUUCUCUGUAUUUUACCAGCUGGUUGGAAUUCAUUUAUCCCAGAAGACAAUUGGCUCAUCAAUAGUGGUAUUUGGUUCCUGAAAAUUUCCCUCUUAGAAAAUUUAGUACCUGGGACUCCAUUUUCAGUGAAUUUGUAAUGACUUUUGCUGGAUGGUAAGGCAUUGAAGUGUUUAAUACUUUAAUGACUAAGUGGAUAUUUUAUUAAUUUUGAGUUAUAUUGUAGUAACUUUCUGACAGAUAUGGUUUAUCAGUUUAACACUGAUAUGUGAGCAGCCUGCCUUCAGAAUGUUAAUCAGGAACAGUCACUCUUAUUGGAAUCUGGUUUUAUUCCCUGAAAAGCAGUGUAAAACUUGCAUGAAUUUGAUUUUCCCAGAGAGCAUUGCUGCCUGGAAAGAGGCUGAAAGAACUUUAGAAAAGAUGGAGUCUUUACCUCACUCCUAAGUUAGAGACAAAUACUUCAACCACAUAAUUAAAGUUUUCUUCACAAAAUAGGCGAUUGUGAGCAGACACUGGCAGGAAUCCAAAAUUCUAAUUUCUGACUAUGAUUUAAUUUCAAUUUUAAAUAAAUCGGUUUUUAAUUUAAAAAGAGUGAGCUUCAUAACAUUAGCAAUGAUUGCAACAUUAAGCCCAGUGUUCACAAUCUAGCAAUAUAAAACAUUAUUUAUAUCUGAAUCGUAAACAGCCUUUUGAAAUGGAUUAUGGUUUUUCUCCCUAUUCUAAUACAACCUGGAGGGUACUAAAAAGUGUUGUGUGAAAUUAACAUUCUGCUGACUUUCGCCUAUAAAUGAGAAGCGAGCUAUUAACAUUUGUGUAUUUUCAUUAUGUAAAUUGUGUUAACACAUGCCCACAAAUUGCCACCAGCAAUGCAAUAAUUUUCUCUCAGUGAUCAUAAUGUGUCCAAGUGAGUCAUUUUGAUUAUGACAUGCUAAUUACAUAUUGCCUUUUUUCAGAUUCAGAAAAACCAGGGAUCUUUAAUGCCUCUCCAGCUUCUGCAGUGCAUUGUUGAUGAGGGGAGAAACCCUGCAAAAGCAGACUGUCCCACAGGCUGUUCCUCAGGGGUGUCAGAGGCCCUAAAGAC